Long non-coding RNA from Octopus sinensis (East Asian common octopus), 2289 nucleotides. RefSeq lists it as uncharacterized. The record is from RefSeq and is a predicted model, not a curated record. The transcript has 2 exons. NCBI's taxonomy places the organism in Eukaryota, Metazoa, Mollusca, Cephalopoda, Octopoda, Octopodidae.
AAAAGAUUAUUAUUAUUAUUAUUAUUAAGGUGGCGAGCUAGCAGAAUCGUUAGCACGUCAGACAAAACUCUUCGCAGCAUUUCUUUUGGUUCUUAACGUUCUGAGUUCAAAUUCCACCAAGGUAUAUUUUACCAUUCGUUCUAUCGGGACUGAUAAAAUGAAAUACCAGUAAAAUACUGGGGUUGAUAUGAAUCGCCUUAAAGAAUUAUUGUUAUCAGAGCAAUGAGCUGUGGAAUCACCAGAGUGUCAGACAAAAUGUCUAGUGGUAUUACUUCUGACUCUUUACAUACUGAGUUCAAAUCCCGCUGUGGUCAGCUUUUGCCUUUCAACCUUUCGAGGUUGAUAGAAUACAGUACCAGUCAUGUAAUGGGUUCGAUGUAAUCGACUUGCCCCCUUCCCUCAAAAUUAUUGGUCUUGUGCCUAAAUAGGAAACCAUUAUUAUUAUUAUUAUUAUUAUCAUCAUAGUUGUAUAGACGGCUGAGACAAAAGACUGACAAAAGGCAUUGCAGUAUUCUGUGUUCGUCCCUCUUGAUUCCUAGUUCAAUUCCUACUGGGCACCAACUUUUCCUUUCAUCCCUUUGGGGGUUGAUAAAAUAAGUACCAGUAAUAUAUUGCAACCGAAUCAACUGACUGUAAUAUAUAUAUAUAAUAUAUAUAAUAUAUAUAUAUAUAUAUGUAUAUAUAUGUAUAUAUAUAUAUAUCUAUCUCUCUCUAUAUAUAUAUGUGUGUGUGCAUGUGUAUGCAUGCAGAAACAUACACACUAUUUUUCAUUGCAGCAAAUCCUAGUGCACUGCAACUAAAUGUAAAUAUUAUCAACAUUGCUGGAAAGGUUCAUCUCAUGAUUUCUAAGUUUAUCAUUUCAACAAAGGUACAACAUUGCUGUCGUUGCUGGGAUUUUCUCUCCUUAUUUUCACGAAUGAGUAACUCUUUUCAUUCACACUUUUUCUUCAAACUAUUUCCUUUGAAUUUUUUUUUUUAAUUCUCGAAAAAAAAAAAAGAGAAAAAAAAUCUAAUAAUGAUAAUAAUAAUAAUAAUAAUAAUAAUGAACUAAUUCUUUUUUGGAAUAUCUUGAAGCACACACAUAAAGCUAGAAAUAAUAGCAUGUAAGUAUUGAAUUGAAGUAUUGGAUAGAAAAAAGUUGAAGGCUGCCUGUGGGCACAAACCUCAUAUCUCCUGUAGAUUUGAUAGGGCAGCAUUCAACUUUUUCUGUCUGAAAGGGAUUUUUUACUCAUUAUUUGUAUGUUGCUAUUUGCAGAUUUAUGUGUGUAGUUCGAGAUAUUCCAAAACAGAAUUGGUUCCCAUUCUCCUGAAAAUUCAUUACUUCUUGAUGUCAAUAAUAAUAAUAAUAAUAAUUAUUAUGAUAAUGAUGAUGAUCCUAUGAUGCCAUUUCAACCUAUUAAGUAUAGGCUUAUGCAGAUACAGGAAAUUCCUUUGCUAAAAUUUAGUAACUGAACUAAUAGGCUUACAAUAAAGUCAGGACUUGCACUUAUUUAUCGUGGAAUGGGGACUCGAUAGUUGGCUAGGGAGUGCUCCAUACAUUAAGAAGGCGAUGUGAAGGGAGGGGUCAUUUUAAGUGAAAGGAGGAGAAAAGAUAUAUAUAUAUAUAUAUGUACAUAUAUAUACAUAUAUAUAUAUAUAUAUUGCAAUGGUGCGAGGUAAAUAACUAAAGCCUGUUAACACAAGAUCCUAAAAAUAAAGAAAAAAACUACCAAAGAUUUUUUUUCAGUAUGAAUGUAUGCAUGUGUAUGUUUAUAUAUAUAUAUAUAUAUAUAUAUGUAAAAUUUUUAAUAUUUUUAUCAAAUCUUCUUUUUCCCUACCCCCAUCUAAAAAAUCAUUUUUUUUUUUUUUACUUUACUUUUUUUGGCAAAGUUGAAUAAAAUAUGUAUAUAUGUAAUGCAUUUUCUUUUAUUUAAAUCUAUCUCCUUCAAUCAACGCUUCUCGUUCAUUCUCUGAUGAACUCUUCUUUAAAUUACAAUGUGUGGUCUUAAAAUUCUGAUAUACAUGUGUGUGUGUGUGUGUGUGUGAGAGAGAGAGAGAGAGAGAGAGCAUGUAAAGCAAAAGAUCAGAUUUUGCAAGGAAAAUUUCAAGACCAAACCUAUUCUGUCAUUCUCUGUCCCCAGUUCUUUAUUUUCCUUGUUAUACAGGUAAGGUUCAUUUACAGGUAAAGCUCUUUGUGAAAUAAGGAACCUUACCAUCUAUUUUAAUGUGCAAUAAAUAAAUAGAUAAAUAAAAAAGUGAGGUCAAUAAUUUUAAGGUGAAUCAUUGUUAAUAAAAAAAAACACAACAUAA